Molecule: ribosomal RNA, 265 nt
Filed under: uncultured prokaryote
Description: partial 16S ribosomal RNA
Rfam family: Bacterial small subunit ribosomal RNA
Source: RNAcentral
UACGUAGGGGCAAGCGUUAUCCGGAUUUACUGGGUGUAAAGGGAGCGCAGACGGAACUGCAAGUCUGAUGUGAAAGCCCGGGGCUCAACCGCGGGACUGCAUCGGAUACUGUGGAUCUGGAGUGCCGGAGGGGCAAGCGGAAUUCCUGGUGUAGCGGUGAAAUGCGUAGAUAUCAGGAGGAACACCGGCGGCGAAGGCGGCUUGCUGGACGGCAACUGACGUUGAGGCUCGAAAGCGUGGGGAGCAAACAGGAUUAGAUACCCGU